This 422-nucleotide ribosomal RNA is filed under the name uncultured bacterium. RNAcentral describes it as "bacterial SSU rRNA". It matches the Rfam family "Bacterial small subunit ribosomal RNA", at positions 355 to 776 of the family's 1533-position model. The record is from RNAcentral.
UGAGGAAUAUUGCUCAAUGGCCGCAAGGCUGAAGCAGCAACGCCGCGUGAGGGAUGAAGGUUCUACGAAUCGUAAACCUCUGUAGAAUGGGAGAAAUAUCACGAUUUUUCGUGAAUGAUAGUACCAAUAAAGUAAGCCCCGGCUAACUACGUGCCAGCAGCCGCGGUAAUACGUAGGGGGCAAGCGUUGUCCGGAAUCACUGGGUGUAAAGGGUGCUCAGGCGGAUUCAUAAGUCAGAGGUGAAAUCCUGCAGCUUAACUGCAGAACUGCCUUUGAUACUGUGGGUCUAGUGUUCGGGAGAGGGUAAUGGAAUUCUUGGUGUAGCGGUGAAAUGCGUAGAUAUCAAGAAGAACACCAGUUGCGAAGGCGGUUACCUGGCCCGAUACAGACGCUCAAGCACGAAAGCGUGGGGAGCAAACAGG